AAGAUGCGAUUUUAGCCAGAAACGUGAGCAAAUAAUCAUCUUAACAAAGCUGAUAUUAACUAGAAAUCUCAAAAUACGACAAUUGGACACUUGCUGAGUUACGUGAGGAACUUAGACGCCGUAAAGCCAAGCUUCCGGGGAGAAAAGCCGAGUUAAUCGAGAGGCUUGAAGCAUAUGAAAGAAAUGAUGAUUUUGGAGGAAGGUCUGAAGUGCAACCAGAAUAUCAGAUGAAUAUACCUGACACAACCACAUACAAAGACUUACACAGUGGGAUGGAUUUUGGAAGCUUUCCAUUAAGCAGCGUCAACAGCUACCUCCAAUCGUAUGACCAAGCAAAGCCUACCGAGGAACACCAAUAAAAUCAACAGACCUGCAGCUUGUGAACGGUCAAAAUCAUAGAUUCAGUUUUGACCCAAGACCACCCAAGUACGCUAACGCUGGAAACUUUAGCUAUAAAGACUAUUUUCAGAAUACCUGCUUGAAUGCAACAGGUGUCUCAACUACGCCCAUUUUCCAGCUGUUUAAGCCUGCUAAUCCGUAUGCAGUGGCACAUGACCACGACUAUUGUUUUGAUACAAUGCAAAACGACUUCUUGUCAUCUAUUUCACUCCCCAACAUAACCCAGGAAAAGAGGACAGAAAUAGAGCAUACAACUCGAGGACAGACUGGAAAUGCUGCAUGGUUUGAGGAGCGUUGCAAGCGGCUUAC
This is a long non-coding RNA of Priapulus caudatus, 708 nucleotides long. RefSeq lists it as uncharacterized. The transcript is spliced from 3 exons. NCBI's taxonomy places the organism in Eukaryota, Metazoa, Priapulida, Priapulimorpha, Priapulimorphida, Priapulidae. The record is from RefSeq and is a predicted model, not a curated record.